RNAcentral lists this ribosomal RNA (715 nucleotides) under uncultured Staphylococcus sp. Its description in RNAcentral is "SSU rRNA". It matches the Rfam family "Bacterial small subunit ribosomal RNA", at positions 164 to 865 of the family's 1533-position model. The record is from RNAcentral. Lineage: Bacteria; Bacillati; Bacillota; Bacilli; Caryophanales; Staphylococcaceae.
UAAUACCGGAUAAUAUAUUGAACCGCAUGGUUCAAUAGUGAAAGACGGUUUUGCUGUCACUUAUAGAUGGAUCCGCGCCGCAUUAGCUAGUUGGUAAGGUAACGGCUUACCAAGGCAACGAUGCGUAGCCGACCUGAGAGGGUGAUCGGCCACACUGGAACUGAGACACGGUCCAGACUCCUACGGGAGGCAGCAGUAGGGAAUCUUCCGCAAUGGGCGAAAGCCUGACGGAGCAACGCCGCGUGAGUGAUGAAGGUCUUCGGAUCGUAAAACUCUGUUAUUAGGGAAGAACAAAUGUGUAAGUAACUAUGCACGUCUUGACGGUACCUAAUCAGAAAGCCACGGCUAACUACGUGCCAGCAGCCGCGGUAAUACGUAGGUGGCAAGCGUUAUCCGGAAUUAUUGGGCGUAAAGCGCGCGUAGGCGGUUUUUUAAGUCUGAUGUGAAAGCCCACGGCUCAACCGUGGAGGGUCAUUGGAAACUGGAAAACUUGAGUGCAGAAGAGGAAAGUGGAAUUCCAUGUGUAGCGGUGAAAUGCGCAGAGAUAUGGAGGAACACCAGUGGCGAAGGCGACUUUCUGGUCUGUAACUGACGCUGAUGUGCGAAAGCGUGGGGAUCAAACAGGAUUAGAUACCCUGGUAGUCCACGCCGUAAACGAUGAGUGCUAAGUGUUAGGGGGUUUCCGCCCCUUAGUGCUGCAGCUAACGCAUUAAGC